GACGAACGCUGGCGGCGUGCUUAACACAUGCAAGUCGAACGGAAAGGCCCUGCUUUUGUGGGGUGCUCGAUUGGCGAACGGGUGAGUAUCACGUGAGUAACCUGCCCUUGACUUUGGGGUAACUUCAGGAAACUGGGGCUCAUACCGGAUAGGAGCUCCUGCUGCAUGGUGGGGGUUGGAAAGUUUCGGCGGUUGGGGAUGGACUCGCGGCUUAUGAGCUUGAUGGUGGGGUAGUGGCUUACCAAGGCUUUGACGGAUAGCCGGCCUGAGAGCGUGACCGGCCACAUUGGGACUGAGAUACGGCGCAGACUCCUACGGGAGGCAGCAGUCGGGAAUAUUGCACAGUGGGCGGAAGCCAGAUGCAGCAACGCCGCGUGCGGGAUGACGGCCUUCGGGUUGUAAACCGCUUUCGCCUGUGACGAAGCGUGAGUGACGGUAAUGGGUAAAGAAGCACCGGCUAACUACGUG
Molecule: ribosomal RNA, 468 nt
Filed under: uncultured bacterium
Lineage: Bacteria
Description: partial 16S ribosomal RNA
Rfam family: Bacterial small subunit ribosomal RNA
Source: RNAcentral